RNAcentral lists this long non-coding RNA (3748 nucleotides) under Ailuropoda melanoleuca (giant panda). RNAcentral's name for it is "lncRNA (ENSAMEG00000028015.1)". The record is from RNAcentral. Lineage: Eukaryota; Metazoa; Chordata; Mammalia; Carnivora; Ursidae.
AUGUUCCUGGAGCUUUGGCUCUUUUCUAGGAUCCACAAAGAAGAGAGGUUUUUACAGUUUUAUCUAUAUAUGAGAGGUCUCUUUUGUAGGUUCAGGGUGGAUGAGGAAUCAGAACCUGUGGUGCAGCUGAAUGACAUGAGGAUGAGAAGUAUCAACCUAGCAACCCAGGAAGAAUGGUCCCCAGGCCCUGGGAUGUCACUGCGAUUAGGCUCUCAGACCGUGGUAGAGAAAAGCCUGAAGGGAGGGGGCAGCUCCAUUAGGUAAUCCCUCACUACUUACCUGCUCAAGCCAUAGUCAACAGGACCUUUCAAAAGAUCAAGUUAGCCCUAAAAGGUCCGAUGAGUCACAUUCUGAGCAGAAAAAUCUGGCAUUGAGGCAUAAUUAACAUUCUGGGUUGCCCCCAGUUUCUAUGGAGAUGAGUCUAGCCCCUCGGGGGAGGAGUGAUGGAUGUGUAAUCUCCAAGAUAAGUAACUGACAGGUAAGAAAUUUUCCUUUCUCAAAUGCAUUAAUUAUUCACAUUCAUUAUUCAUCAAACACUGUGAGUUUCCAUUUAGAAAUUGGACCAAAUAGAGGAAUUCUCCCCUGUCCACCCCUCAUAAUCAAAUUCUUCUAGGGACUGCUAAGCAUUUGAGUAGAUCCACUGUUUGGUCUAGUUUAAUGGCAAGUGUUUGUCUGCUGUUACUGGGAGAUGGAAUGAAGAUUAAACACCUUGUUGACUACAAUAGCACAGACCUUUGGCAGGUUUCAACUUUGCCAACCCCUGAUAUUUUCUUAUUAUCAUUCUUUCUUUUAGAACAUUAGCUUGGCAAGAACCCAGGCCUUACCUGUCUUGUUCACUACUGUAUUCCCAGCCCCUAGAAAGAAGAUAUAGACACUUGAUAAAUGUUUAUGAAAUAAGAGAAUGAAUGGAAGAGAUUUGGGUCUGGGGAUGGCAGAACCCAUCAGAGGAAAUGCACAUAUGAGCGAUCCGGCCCUAGUUCCUUGAGGGAUUGCUGUCUACAUACUCCUCUCCCCUGCUAGAUGAUGACAUACACUGAGACACAGAGAGAAGGCAGCUGGAGCAAGACCCUUAGCCCAUUCCAGGAUAGGGACCCUUUGGCACAUCCUUUAACGUUUUUUAUUGCAAACAUUGCCUUUUAAUCGAUUUAUUUGAACCUAGAUCUGUUCUUUGCCUGAAGUGUAUCCCAGAACUGUGAUCAGUCAGGAACUGUGGAUUGCCUCAACAGGCCAAGCUGUGAAACACCAGAGUGCCUAGUCCCAGAAUCCAGCAUCGGUUCAAGGUUUACAAAAAAUAAAUUUGUCCAAUUUAAAGGUCGAUUUGUCCAAUGACCAAUUUCCCAAAAACAUGUUCUCUGUGAUCAACUUACAAAGUAGAUAGCUGUUGGUGUACAAUGGGAGGCUUUCAAAAGCUCUUGAGUUUUUCAGUGGUGUCUUUUUGUUUCAUAUUACUGUUAGUUUCAUCUGAGCUGUGUCUCUAUGGCAGGUCAAGGUUUCUUGCUUUGUAGAUUUUCUUCUCACUGGAUCUGUGACUUUUGGGGCAUGAGGAUUUUUUUCAUGUAUUCUAAUCAGACAUUUUGCGUGUCUUAAAUGUUAAAAAUAGUAUAAAUCACAGGGCAGGUGUCUGCUAACACAUUCUAAAUCCACUUUACUGCCUAAAUACUUGUUGACUGAUUCAAACAAGUGAAUAUAUUGUUUGGUUUUGAGCAUUAGAGAAACUUUGGAGUCUGAAUUAUUAUUUUUUUUAAAGAUUUUUAUUUAUUUGACAGAGAUAGAGAUAGCCAGCGAGAGAGGGAACACAAGCAGGGGGAGUGGGAGAGGAAGAAGCAGGCUCAUAGUGGAGGAGCCUGAUGUGGGGCUCGAUCCCAUAACGCUGGGAUCCCGCCCUGAGCCGAAGGCAGACGCUUAACCGCUGUGCCACCCAGGUGCCCCUGGAGUCUGAAUUAUUAAACACACAAGAAACUGAUGUUCAGUCCCCCUGAACUGAAAAGGCCAUGUGACUGAGGGGAAACAGAUUCAGGAAAGCUAAAACUAAUUGUGCUUCUCAAUAGUACAUCCUUUCAUUCAUUAAUUAAUUCAACAUGUAUUGAGUCCCUUUUUAGUGUUGUGCCUUAUUCUAGGGACUUGGAAUAAAAGAAAAAUAAGAUAAGAUUCCUACUUUAGAGACUACUCUGCUAUUUUGAAGUCCCCUGGUAAGAUGUAAGGCCCAUUUUGUUGAAUUCAUUUAACCUUUUUUUUUUCUUUUCAGUUUAGUGGUCAUUCUUUUAGCCUGUUUCACUAUCUACUCUGACAAGUAUAACUAACGUCUCUUAAACGUACUAGAGUUGAUCUUCAUGGCCCACCUUAAUUCUUGUGAAAAUGUCUGUUCUCAUCUUACAAAGGCUGCCUGUGUGGUUUAAGACUGCAGUUUCAUCCCCGCAGCCUCUUCCUGCCCUCGAUUGCCCUGGCAGCCCUGUCCCUACAGGGACCACGUGAAUCUGAAGACUGCUGUUGAAGUCAUGCCCUUCCUCCGGAAGCUCGAACUCUGCAUCUGUGAAGUGAGCUGAUGGAGACUAACUCACAGUGUUGUUGCAAGUAAAAUGGAGCUAAGAGUACUUUGUAAGCAACAAAGCACUAAUGUGAGAGAUUAUAAUAGAUUAGAGCAAGUCAGUUCUAAUGCACACAUAAGGAAAAUGCUGUGGGAACACAGAGAAGAGGCAAUUAGGGAGAUUAGCAAAGUUUUGCAAAGCUGGUAUGGUGAACUCGGCCUUGAGAUUAAGAGAUCUUUAGGUGAAGCAGAACAUUGCAGAAAGGAAAAAAAAAAAAGCAGCUGAACAAAAUCUCAGAGGCACCAAAAAGUUCUAUAUGUUUGGCAAAAAAUGAACAAGAGUGAUUGUAGAGUAGGGGGGAUGUCAUAGAUGUUGAUAAAUUAGGUACAAGUCAGUUCCUGAAGAGUCCGUAUGUCAUAUUAAAGAGUUUGAGCUUUAUUUACAGAGCCACUGAAAAGUUUUUGGGUUUUUUUUCAAGAUUUUGUUUAUUUAUUUGAGAGAAAGAGAGGGAGAGAGAGAGAAGCUGUGCCAGCAGGGGGAGGAGCAAAGGGGGAGCCUCCGGAUGCAGGGGCUCAAUCUCACCACCCCAAGAUCAUGACCAAGCCAAAAUAAAGUCGGAUGCUUAACCUGUUGAGCCACCCAGGUGCCCUGAAAAGUUUCUUUCUACAAAUAAUUUCUUGUGUGAGCCAAUCUGUGCCAAGCACUGUUGUAAGCACUUGUGAUUUAUCAGAAGACUAAUAAAAAGAUCAUCCAUGCACCUGAUUUAAGAAAUAGUUUAAGAGAUGACGGAUCCCAUGUGAAACUCUGUGUUUGCCUCCUCAGUAGAAUCCUAAUUCUCUAAGAGUAACUCAAACUCUAAAUUUGGUGUUUAUCAUGCCCAUGUUUUUCAUUACAGUUUUACUCAUCUGUGGGGCUCAAUGAAUAUUUGCUGGAUAGAGAAAUGAAAACACAUGUCCCCAUGCGGGUGGUCUCCGGUGCCCUUUCUCACAGGUGUUUCUCCCAUUUCUGCUGCCAUCCAUUAUCAUUCCACAUUCUUAACGUGUCUGUCACUCUCAGGUUUCUUGAUUUACAUGCGGGUGUGAGUCUUUAUCAAAUAGUUGUGCUUGUUAUCAAAACAACUUUAUACAGAUUACUCUCCGAAUCCCAUUCAACACAGCAAUGGUUUAUAAUUUCUACCUCUUCUUCCCAUCUUUAUCCAUGUUAAGUGGAGUUAUAAUGUAGAC